UGCCCCGUGGCUGAGUUGGUCACAGCGUCCGACUGUUACAUCGUGUAGCACUUGUUUCACCGUUAAGUUCGUCGAUGGCAUCGGAAGGUCGUGAGUUCGAGCCUCACCGGGGCAG
This is a non-coding RNA of Trametes cingulata, 115 nucleotides long. The record is from the annotation of a GenBank genome assembly. Lineage: Eukaryota; Fungi; Basidiomycota; Agaricomycetes; Polyporales; Polyporaceae.